UACGGAAGGCAGCAGUGGGGAAUAUUGCACAAUGGGCGCAAGCCUGAUGCAGCCAUGCCGCGUGUAUGAAGAAGGCCUUCGGGUUGUAAAGUACUUUCAGUCGUGAGGAAGGUGUUAAGGUUAAUAACCUUAGCAAUUGACGUUAGCGACAGAAGAAGCACCGGCUAACUCCGUGCCAGCAGCCGCGGUAAUACGGAGGGUGCGAGCGUUAAUCGGAAUUACUGGGCGUAAAGGGCACGCAGGCGGUUAAUUAAGUUGGAUGUGAAAUCCCCGGGCUUAACCUGGGAAUGGCAUUCAAGACUGGUUAGCUAGAGUCUUGUAGAGGGGGUAGAAUUCCAUGUGUAGCGGUGAAAUGCGUAGAGAUGUGGAGGAAAUACCGGUGGCGAAGGCGGCCCCUGGACAAAGACUGACGCUCAUGUGCGAAAAGCGUGGGGAGCAAACAGGGAUUAGAUACC
Molecule: ribosomal RNA, 455 nt
Filed under: uncultured bacterium
Lineage: Bacteria
Description: bacterial SSU rRNA
Rfam family: Bacterial small subunit ribosomal RNA
Source: RNAcentral